GGAGGGUCUUCUGUGUAUGAUAGUAGCAGUGAAUCCUACGGUCAGGAUGGAUCUUCCACAUAUGGUGGCGCUGGAUCUUAUGGUCAGGAUUCGUCUUCCAUAGGAGGUGGUGAAUCCGAUGAUAUCGAUUCCACCUCACCAUCUGGCAGCCGACAGAGUGAACGGG
Molecule: long non-coding RNA, 166 nt
Organism: Cygnus atratus (black swan)
Lineage: Eukaryota; Metazoa; Chordata; Aves; Anseriformes; Anatidae
Exons: 4
Source: RefSeq, a predicted model, not a curated record